GAUUGCGAAAUGGCCGAAAGGCUGACGCAGCGACGCCGCGUGAAGGAUGAAGUCCGUUAGGAUGUAAACUUCUUUUGUAGGGGAUGAAUACCCCGUUAGACGGGGGGUGACCGUACCCUGCGAAUAAGGAUCGGCCAACUACGUGCCAGCAGCCGCGGUAAUACGUAGGAUCCGAGCGUUGUCCGGAAUUACUGGGUGUAAAGGGCGUGUAGGUGGGCCUCUAAGUCGGCGGUGAAAUCUUGCAGCUCAACUGCAAAACUGCCAUCGAUACUGGAGGUCUUGAGUGCGGCAGAGGGAGAUGGAAUUCAUGGUGUAGCGGUGAAAUGUGUAGAUAUCAUGAAGAACACCAGUAGCGAAGGCGGUCUCCUGGUCCGUAACUGACACUGAGGCGCGAAAGCGUGGGGAGCAAACAGGAUUAGAUACCCUGGUAGUCCACGCCUUAAACGAUGGGUACUAGGUGCUGGACCGCAAGGUUCAGUGCCAAAGCUAACGCAUUAAGUACCCCACCUGGGGAGUACGAUCGCAAGGUUGAAACUCAAAAAAAUUGACGGA
This 552-nucleotide ribosomal RNA is filed under the name uncultured bacterium. RNAcentral describes it as "bacterial SSU rRNA". It matches the Rfam family "Bacterial small subunit ribosomal RNA", at positions 359 to 917 of the family's 1533-position model. The record is from RNAcentral.